This 450-nucleotide ribosomal RNA is filed under the name uncultured bacterium. Its description in RNAcentral is "partial 16S ribosomal RNA". It matches the Rfam family "Bacterial small subunit ribosomal RNA", at positions 354 to 796 of the family's 1533-position model. The record is from RNAcentral.
GUGGGGAAUCUUCCGCAAUGGACGAAAGUCUGACGGAGCGACGCCGCGUGAGUGAAGAAGGCCUUCGGGUCGUAAAGCUCUGUCAUCAGGGACGAACGGCCGGUGGAGUGGAAAGCCACCGGAUUGACGGUACCUGAGAAGGAAGCCACGGCUAACUACGUGCCAGCAGCCGCGGUAAUACGUAGGUGGCAAGCGUUGUCCGGAAUUAUUGGGCGUAAAGCGCGCGCAGGUGGGAUCUUAAGUCCAUUUUUAAAGUUCGGAGCUCAACUCCGUGAUGGGAUGGAAACUGGGAUUCUUGAGUACCGGAGAGGAAAGCGGAAUUCCUAGUGUAGCGGUGAAAUGCGUAGAUAUUAGGAAGAACACCAGUGGCGAAGGCGACUUUCUGGACGAAAACUGACGCUGAGGCGCGAAAGCCAGGGGAGCGAACGGGAUUAGAAACCCCGGUAGUCC